RNAcentral lists this long non-coding RNA (299 nucleotides) under Elaeis guineensis (African oil palm). RNAcentral describes it as "long non-coding RNA (EGUI_LNC031468)". Lineage: Eukaryota; Viridiplantae; Streptophyta; Magnoliopsida; Arecales; Arecaceae. The record is from RNAcentral.
GCACUACAUAAAUACUCUUACUCAGUGGAGGACAACGCAUAGAAAUGCCUUGCAAAUGGAAAUUGAUUGUGGCUCCGGACAGGAAUCAGAAGCAAAUAAGUGGAACAAACUUAUGUAACACUCAAUUACAUCUCAGAAAGAUACCCAAAAAAAGACGAUUCACCGUCAUAUUUUUAAUAUAUUUUUAUUCGGUUUACAAGGGGAGUAUUUUUGUCAGCAACACUCGCACAUAUGUUGGAAUAAAUGCAGAGGUAGCAACAACCACCCGAAUUUAUGAUUAUAAACAGUCAAUCUGGGGA